CUGUUCACCUCAGCUCUGUGGUCGGUAAUGGCUCUAUGUGUGUGGUUUGGGUGUGGGCGGAUUCGUGCACACGCUGCCCUGGUAGCUCUCAUACUCCCAUGUGGCUGACCGCAGCUGGGCUUCAGAAAAACGUUGUUGCCAUGACCAUGAGGGUAUUUCCUCCCAGAAUUGAUCUCCUUUUCCUCUAGUACAGAUAGAGGCAAGACUCUAAAGACAUUUUUUAUUCUGUUUUCAUUCUUUUGGGGCCAACUUUCUACCUUGCAUUUUAAUAAAACAAAUGCACAAAACUGCCAAUUGCAGGUACCUUGGGUUGAGUUCAUUCUGGCACCAGUGAGCUUUCACCCCAGGGAGGCAGAAGCAGUCAAAAAAUGAAAGCAGCUCCUUUUGAAGUAAACAGGCUCCCCUUGCCUGCUACCCUGUGAUUGCUUCUCUCUUAGGGAUGGCCGGAAGUCUGCACUAGUGCCAGCAUCAGAACAGAAGCUGUGUCCUGUAUCAGAAUCUGAAAAAGCCCAAGUUGCAUGAAUGAAGGGGUCCUACUCUGUCACACAGGCUGGAGUGCAGUGGCAUGAUCAU
Piliocolobus tephrosceles (Ugandan red Colobus) is the source of this 573-nucleotide long non-coding RNA. RefSeq lists it as uncharacterized. NCBI's taxonomy places the organism in Eukaryota, Metazoa, Chordata, Mammalia, Primates, Cercopithecidae. The record is from RefSeq and is a predicted model, not a curated record. The transcript has 3 exons.